Molecule: ribosomal RNA, 731 nt
Filed under: uncultured bacterium
Lineage: Bacteria
Description: bacterial SSU rRNA
Rfam family: Bacterial small subunit ribosomal RNA
Source: RNAcentral
AGACGCUGGCGGCAGGCCUAACACAUGCAAGUCGAGCGCGCCCUUCGGGGUGAGCGGCGGACGGGUUAGUAACGCGUGGGAAUAUACCCGACACUAAGGAAUAGCCUCUGGAAACGGAGAGUAAUACCUUAUACGCCCUUCGGGGGAAAGAUUUAUCGGUGACGGAUUAGCCCGCGUUAGAUUAGAUAGUUGGUGGGGUAAUGGCCUACCAAGUCUACGAUCUAUAGCUGGUUUUAGAGGAUGAUCAGCAACACUGGGACUGAGACACGGCCCAGACUCCUACGGGAGGCAGCAGUGGGGAAUCUUGGACAAUGGGCGCAAGCCUGAUCCAGCCAUGCCGCGUGAGUGAUGAAGGCCUUAGGGUCGUAAAGCUCUUUCGCCAGAGAUGAUAAUGACAGUAUCUGGUAAAGAAACCCCGGCUAACUCCGUGCCAGCAGCCGCGGUAAUACGGAGGGGGUUAGCGUUGUUCGGAAUUACUGGGCGUAAAGCGCGCGUAGGCGGAUUAGUAAGUUAGAGGUGAAAUCCCGGGGCUCAACCCCGGAACUGCCUUUAAUACUGCUAGUCUUGAGUUCGAGAGAGGUGAGUGGAAUUCCGAGUGUAGAGGUGAAAUUCGUAGAUAUUCGGAGGAACACCAGUAGCGAAGGCGGCUCACUGGCUCGAUACUGACGCUGAGGUGCGAAAGUGUGGGGGAGCAAACAGGAUUAGAUACCCCUGGUAGUCCACACCGUUAA